GAAAGUUAUCUGGCUUAGAUAUCGGUCACCCACUCAUCACCAGGGUUGGUUUGAUUUAUCUAGAUGCCUAGCCAAAUGUCCCCUUCCUCCCAUGUUCCUCCAGCUUCAUGUGUAUGUGUCCCUCCUGAAGCUGCACAAUCAGUUUAAAAGGCUACAUGACCUCAGCUAAAGGAGGACCAGCCUUUGAUUAAGGGGAGGACCAGCCUUUGAUUAAGGGUAUGAGUAGUUGUGCUCACCUACUAGAACUUCCAAGUAAGCCAUCAGGGAGUUUAUGCAACAAGUACGACACUGGUAAGUUCAGAGAUCUCUUUACUUCCUGACCAUCCUUUCACUGAUUCUCAAUUUUGUCUCA
Molecule: small nuclear RNA, 352 nt
Filed under: Mesocricetus auratus (golden hamster)
Lineage: Eukaryota; Metazoa; Chordata; Mammalia; Rodentia; Cricetidae
Description: 7SK RNA
Rfam family: 7SK RNA
About the family: 7SK was discovered as an abundant small nuclear RNA in the mid-70s but a possible function has only recently been suggested. Two independent studies have found that 7SK RNA binds the CDK9/cyclin T complex (known as elongation factor P-TEFb).
Source: Rfam by way of RNAcentral